Molecule: long non-coding RNA, 1129 nt
Organism: Herpailurus yagouaroundi (jaguarundi)
Lineage: Eukaryota; Metazoa; Chordata; Mammalia; Carnivora; Felidae
Exons: 4
Source: RefSeq, a predicted model, not a curated record
ACAGUUCUUUUGCACACUGGCUUUUCACUGAGUGCAAAAUCCCAACUCAGCUUAGAAGAGCCUGUUUCCUCGCACAGGACCACAGAAGGCUGCAUGCAGAACACCAGAGUAUCUUGAAAGAAAACAACCCCAAGCUGGAAAGAAGCCCCGAAGACUGGAUUAUCCUGGUGUGAUUGGUUCAAGUCCCUGCUCACAGAGACUUAGAGACAAAUGCGGAUCGUGCGGGCCAAGGACCCUUCUUGGCUUCCGGGCUCUGAGUCUGGACACUCAGACCGUGGGAAGGAAGGGUAAAACUGUGUCCAGCAUUUUGCAAACGUUCGUUGUUACACACAAACACACACAAUGAAUAACAGGAAAGAGAAUACAGAAGAAUAAAAGAACUUCUAUUAAACUGUCAGCAAGAAUGGAAACCACAAAGGACAAUCUAUACUCCAUCAUUUAUAUUGACACUGAGAGGUACCAAGAAUAUCUUUAAAAGAGGGAAAAGAAAUGAAACAGUAUGGAGAAGAAUAUUAAUGGUUCGUAUUUCUGAUGUAUGUGUGUACUUUUCAAGUCAAUUUCAAAUCUAUUAUUUCAUGAUCAUUAGUGAAUAAUAUACACAAUUUUUUCCCCGUGCCCCAAAGGCUUCUGUCUGAGUUUGAGAUAUUGGAACUUAUAUUUUAAAAAUGUGUGACUGCUUUAACCAUGUGUUAAUGUAUGAAUGGAUGUGCCUAGUCUCAAUGGCCCAGGCAUAAGAUUAAGUGGCACUGUAGCAGAGACUCUGAAAUGAAAAACUGACAGUAUGAAAAUGUCACACUGACUUAGGUCAAUGACUCAUCCAAUUGAAAGAUAUUUUGUGGGGAGCACAGGUUAUGGAUAUAAAUGAAACAUUCCUAAUUUGCUUUGAUUCAGGUUUCUCUAAUGAAUUAUGAAUUUAAAAUUUAUAAACAUACCUCAACGCUUUUUGAAUAUAUUUAUAUUUUUGGCUUUUAUUGCCAUUCAAGGCUUACUUACUACCAGAACAUUCCUUCCUUUUUCUUUUACAAUUGCCUCUUUUGUGAAUCCUGAAGGACAAGGCACAUCAUGAUUUUAUAGAUUUUAACGGUAUCUUAGUUUAGUCUUUGUCUUCCCGGGCUGCAACAUUCUAAUU